GGCGAACGCUGGCGGCGUGCUUAACACAUGCAAGUCGAACGAAGAGCGAUGGAAGCUUGCUUCUAUCAAUCUUAGUGGCGAACGGGUGAGUAACGCGUAAUCAACCUGCCCUUCAGAGGGGGACAACAGUUGGAAACGACUUCUAAUACCGCAUACGAUCUAAACUCGGCAUCGAGGAUAGAUGAAAGGUGGCCUCUACAUGUAAGCUAUCACUGAAGGAGGGGAUUGCGUCUGAUUAGCUAGUUGGAGGGGUAACGGCCCACCAAGGCGAUGAUCAGUAGCCGGUCUGAGAGGAUGAACGGCCACAUUGGGACUGAGACACGGCCCAGACUCCUACGGGAGGCAGCAGUGGGGAAUCUUCCGCAAUGGACGAAAGUCUGACGGAGCAACGCCGCGUGAGUGAUGACGGCCUUCGGGUUGUAAAGCUCUGUUAAUCGGGACGAAAGGCCUUCUUGCGAAUAGUGAGAAGGAUUGACGGUACCGGAAGAGAAAGCCACGGCUAACUACGUG
RNAcentral lists this ribosomal RNA (510 nucleotides) under uncultured bacterium. Its description in RNAcentral is "partial 16S ribosomal RNA". It matches the Rfam family "Bacterial small subunit ribosomal RNA", at positions 28 to 507 of the family's 1533-position model. The record is from RNAcentral.